This 25-nucleotide non-coding RNA is filed under the name Mus musculus (house mouse). Lineage: Eukaryota; Metazoa; Chordata; Mammalia; Rodentia; Muridae. The record is from RNAcentral.
UAGCAGGACGGGGAGCUUGGCCGGA